CAGGCUCCACACACCUCCCAGCUCCCUCCCCUCCCCAGCAGCAAGCCCAGAGCAGCCCUGGGCCCUGUGAGGGCUCUGUGUGCCCAGGAAGCACCUCUGUGCUCAGCACAGCACCUGCACAUCCCAGUACAUUGGCCAUCCCAGUGUAUUGGACAUACCAGUAGAUAUUGGCUGCCUGUGAUCCUCGACGUAGCUCCUGGAUUAAAUGCCCUGACGAAGUAUCAAAUAUCCUUAUAAGGGUCCCCUUGAAAAGGAAUCAAGCCUUGUAUUAGGAAAGGCAGAAGACUCUCUUUACAUCUGUGAAUGCAGCCUAAAACUCUGUCUGUCUGACCAGUAUGUCCCUGCACACACCUCUGGGGGUUUUCUUGAUAGAUUUGAGAACCUGUUUUAAUUUUGGAGAAGAACAUUGAUUACCCCCACACCAGCCCCACAGUGUUACAGUGCUGUGGUGCACAACCUUGUCACUUGGCUCCUCAGCUCAAGUUUCUUUCAGCUCUUUUCUAAAGCACCAGCACAGCCCUGGCCUUGGUUGGCAGACCCUGGAGUGUGCCCAGGCUCUGGGAGUCACUUCUGCCUUGCUCCCUCAGUCAGUGCUGCCAUUUUCAGUGCUACUGUGCAAUUCUUUCCCACAAAUUAUAAUCAGGCUGUGGCUGACUUGUCUUAGAAUUAAUUCAGAGGCUGUCCAUCAUCACCUGCAGUCCUGUUACACGCCUGGUUAACAGCUGCAGCUCUGCAGUCACACACCAGGAGGUAACAGAACCCAGCAGAGAAAGAUUUGGUAAACUCAGCUUAGUUUUGAUUUAAGAGACAGGCUUGGGAUGUUUGCUGACUGUGCUCAGACUCCCUAGUUUGGUUGGAAAAUAAAAGCUGUUUGAACUUUUUCUCUGUACAAAACAAGGAACAUCCUGAUACAAAUGCAGCAGAUAAUGAGUCUACUUAGCAAUGGAGUUGGCAGCUUUAAGAACUCUGUUUAGAAGACAUGCAGCCAUUAAGCUUAGUUAGGAGAGACUGUGGCUGCACUUUCUUUUUUUAAGCUGUUUGAGUGACAGGCUGGGCAGUAGGAACUGUUCAAAGGAGAGACUUGUUGGAUUCAUUUGGCUUUUCCUUGAGAAACUCCAUUCAUUUGAGUGGAAAAAGGCAACAAGUGCUCCUCUUGCCUCAGGGAGAUGGGUCCAUCUGCCUGACAUUCCUUUGGGAGAUGAAGGGCCCUGGCAGCCCUCCCAGGGGUUCCCAGGGAGAGGGCAGGUCUGUCACCAUUUGAGCUGCAGCCUAACCUGAGGUUUUUGUCAGUGUGUUGUGCUCUUUAGUCCCACAGGGGUGCACACACCAUUUCAGAAGGAGGGGGGCAGCCACCCCCUCCUGCUCUGCACUAGGGGCUAAGCCCUGGCAGAACAAAGCCCUCUGGCAGGACAGACCUGUCUGCAAGCAUUUCUUUAGCCAGUAGGUGUGAAGUGAGUUUAAGCAGAAAAUAAUAAAGGUGAAAGAAUACAAAUAAGAUUCUCCUCCUGCUUUUUAAAAAAAUUAACAGUAUCUGUUGAAGAACACAGGAAAGCUGUGAGCUGCUUGGGCCAGGCUUCUGUCACUGAAGAGUCACUGCUCCAGUCAGCUAAAACAUAAGCACUACCUCAGGCACAGCCCUUGGCUGUUGGUGUCUGGGGAUCCCAGAGGAGCAGUGAAGAUAAAGGGAAUGCACAUUCCAGGGACAAAUUUCCCCGGUAGGUAUUUCUCUGUCUUUCCUACGGAGGAUGUGACUUCCUCUUUGUGACACUGGAACACACAGUAGGUCAGAGGCAGGGACAUCACUCUUACUUUUUCUGAUGCUGUUGCAAUUCUUGUUCCCUGCAGGUUUAAAGCAAUACAGCUCAAGACUCCUUCGUGGGCUGGGAUGUCCACGGGAGGCUUCUCCGUGUUGGCCAAAUCCACGAUCUGCACGUGCCCAGUGUGUGUCCCAGGAAAUGCAAGAAGAGAAUUAUUACUAUUUGGACAAAGGACACAGAGACCUGAAAGACACACACACACACACAAAAAAAAAAGAGAAUAACUGGAUUAUUUCCAUAAACCAACGUUUUCAAAUAAUUAUGCAUGUGCCUCUUCAGUGGAAUCCAUCAAACUACCAAUCUCCUGUCCUGCCCUUCCCCUGCUAAGGGAAUGCAGGUACUGGUACCAAGAAAUGCCAGUGUGAAGUCAGAGCAAUGACAAGUCACCAAGGAGCAGCUGCUGUCACUGGCAGCAGCCUGACAGCAGAGUUAUUGCCUCAACCUGCAGCUGUGCUCGUGCCAGCGAGGCCACAGCGAGUUUUGUUCCUCAAAAUCCACAGAAAAAAGAAGAGUUAAAUUAAUGCCCAGCCUAGGAGAUGCCACAAGCUGAAGGCAGUACCUUGGCCCAGAGAAGCCCACAGGAUUCAGCAGUGGCAGCAGUGGAGCCCAGGGAAGCAACGACAGCUGGCACAGCUCCUGCCAUGGUGGUUUUCCUGGGCACAACAAAUGUUGUCCAGAGCCACAAGAGAGAGCACAGAGCCCUACCAACACUGGGGGGUCCUACAGAGAAGCCUUCCAGCCCACUGGAGAGGAGCAAAUCAGCCACGUGUUUCAACAUCAGAACAAACCCACCCUUCAGUUUUCAAACCAGCUUUUGGCUGCCAC
This is a long non-coding RNA of Manacus vitellinus (golden-collared manakin), 2642 nucleotides long. RefSeq lists it as uncharacterized. The transcript is spliced from 3 exons. NCBI's taxonomy places the organism in Eukaryota, Metazoa, Chordata, Aves, Passeriformes, Pipridae. The record is from RefSeq and is a predicted model, not a curated record.